RNAcentral lists this ribosomal RNA (245 nucleotides) under uncultured bacterium. Its description in RNAcentral is "partial 16S ribosomal RNA". It matches the Rfam family "Bacterial small subunit ribosomal RNA", at positions 524 to 768 of the family's 1533-position model. The record is from RNAcentral.
AACGUAGGAGCCAAGCGUUAUCCGAAUUCACUGGGCGUAAAGCGCGUGCAGGUGGUCUGGUAAGUUGGGUGUGAAAUCUCCUGGCUCAACUGGGAGAGGACGUUCAAUACUGUCAGACUCGAGGGCGGUAGAGGGAGGUGGAAUUCCCGGUGUAGUGGUGAAAUGCGUAGAUAUCGGGAGGAACACCAGUGGCGAAAGCGGCCUCCUGGACCGCACCUGACGCUCAGACGCGAAAGCUAGGGGAG